GGGUUUGCAAAUGUUGGUUUAUUGUUGAAUUAGAGUGAAGAUUUAUUUCAUAAUCAUAAUAGCUGGAUCUAUCUCUAGUAAUUCACUAUAUUAUUGUGGAGAUUGAAGGCGCAAUAUAGACGACUGUUGAAAGAUGAGCAUAAAAAUGAAUAUUGACUUGUCUAUAUCAGUAAUUUAAGUUUGGAGUAUUUCAAUAACAAAAAUUAUUUAUUAAUAAAUGGGUGUAGAUAGUAUUAUGAUGGGUUCAAAUAUCCUCAUCCUUAUAAUAUAUGUAGCUUUGUUAUAAUUUUCAAAAAAAGCAAAAAGCAUAGGCGCAAACUUAGCCCAAAGCACAAGUGAGCCUAAUUUUCUUGAGCCAGCGUCUGGGCCGACACCACCCAAGUUAUGUACCUGAAAUAGAAAAUUAAUAUUGUUUUGAGCUCACAAAGCUUUCGCACUAGAUUAGAUGGAACUGAUCUUUUAUUACGUUUGUUCUUGUCCGAUGUAGUAGAGCUAUCGAAUAUAAAGUGUUUGGGGGAAAUACUCCGACGAGACUAGACGUAAUGAGCAGAUGUUUGGUGGCAGAAGUCUGCGAGCAGGUGUGUCCUGUAAGAGUCAGGUAGAAGGGAAACAGGGGCAGGAAUAUCCUGCUCAUCCAUGAGCACGUCAUCCGCGAGGCUAAUUUUCUGUAAGAAGCAUAAAGCUAUUCCUGCUGUAUUCUUGCUAAGGGUUGAUUCGAGGAGAUCCGGUCAACGACAGUUGGCGAGGCAUGCUCUCCAGCCCGAGAAUCUAGGCACGAAGGCCACGCAACCACCCACGACUACGGAAAUGGGGAAUCCACGUUCGAGAGGUGGGAGGAUAACGGACGUAGACUGCGGAAAACUGGGAUUCAGAGGAAGCCUAUAAAAAGGUAGCCAACGAAGGUAAAAUGGUUAGCAAUUUGGAGACUAGAAGAGAGAUAAAAGCCAUUCUAAAAGAGAGAAAACUACCCAAAAGCCAUAAGAUCUGUGGCAAGCGUUCCCCGAACCUUCAUAUCUGACUUGAGCGUCGGAGGGUUUGCGCCGGGAAAACAACCGGCGUACUCUGACUUGUCUGUGUGCGCAGGAACCUCUGGAGAAGAAGCUUUACGAGGAAAGAUCCUGGUCGUGGUGAAGUUGAUCGAGCAGAGACCCUGGUCGUAGAACGAGGAGAACCAGAAUCUCGCAUCAACAUAAAGCAUUUCGUGAGGCACAUUCUCAUUGUGGUCAUCGGUUGUGCUCGUAAAAAUUAAAUGUUGACCAGCGGGGAUUGGUGCUAUUGUUGGAGAGAUUACGCU
RNAcentral lists this long non-coding RNA (1294 nucleotides) under Citrus sinensis (sweet orange). RNAcentral's name for it is "long non-coding RNA (CSIN_LNC000685)". The record is from RNAcentral. Lineage: Eukaryota; Viridiplantae; Streptophyta; Magnoliopsida; Sapindales; Rutaceae.